Long non-coding RNA from Lolium rigidum, 4074 nucleotides. RefSeq lists it as uncharacterized. The transcript is spliced from 6 exons. Lineage: Eukaryota; Viridiplantae; Streptophyta; Magnoliopsida; Poales; Poaceae. The record is from RefSeq and is a predicted model, not a curated record.
UUUGCGUGAAAGGCAAGCCAUGCGAAGAUCUUGCAUUUGGGUUCCGCGUGAGCCCACCGGAUCUUCUUAGCAUCGAACUUUGCGAAAACUGCCUAGAAAUUGGACAUGGUAUGCAGAGCCAGUGAAGUAGUCACCCUCCGAGUUGAUCGUCCAAGUGAUGGUGUCUGGCACAUCCAAGGCAAGGUGCGUGGCCGCAACAACUUCCCAAAGUUGCAAAUACUGCGCAAGCUGGUCAAGAGUGGAGAGUCUAGCGAUAGAGCAAAUGCAGUUGCCAUCAAGUAGCUCUCUGGUGACAGUUCUCAUUUUCCUUGUAGCCACCUUGAAGAGAUCUGGAGCCCAAAAUUGGAUGGGCCCACGGUCUGACCAAGUCAGACAAGAAGGAAGUGGAUUCCCCUUUUCCAAUGGUAAUCUUCGUGUCAGCCCAGAAAAGAUCCAUGGCCGCGUCGUUGCAAGGAAGCUUGGAGCCUGCCCAGGUUUGCUGUGGGUCAGUCCAUUGAAGCCAAGGCCAUCAGAGACGAAGGGCGCGGCCAGAGCAUUCAAGGUGCUUCUGCUUUUGCCGGCGGCCGGCGGCACCAAGGUCAGGGAGUCAGAGUACAGUCGGCCUUGAUGAUUCUACAAACUCUAUCUUGCUGCCUUAGAUACAACUCUCAGCCCUACCGUUCCUCUCUUACUGCACAACUCAAUUCUGAAUUUUGUAAACAUUUAUAGUUGAAGGUUGUGUCUACAUCUGAAAGGUCAUAAAUUUAUGAAUGUAGACAAUAUUUUAAAAUCCAUGUAUAUGUAUCACUUUUUAAUUUGAUUUGCAAGGUGUGCUUGAGAGAUUUUGGAGACCACUUGCAUGGAAGACCAUGCCAAAUGAAGUUUGGACCUUCAGUAUGCAGAAGAGUGGUGACAAAAACGGAAGAUUGUGAAGCAGACCCAUAACUGGUCAAAUAGAGAAGGAUAAAGAGCUAUUGGUGCUUUCUGAAUGGUUUCAUAUAAAGGUAAUAGAAUUAUUCAUGCAUGUUUCUGAUUUAUGUUCUUUGUUAUUUCUAUUGUGUGAAAUUAAUCUUAAGAACAUUGAUUGUUCGCACGAAUUAUAGGGUCGCAAACAUCAUCACAUCACAUACCAGAGCAGCAGUGUUUCUAUUUUUUACAUUUACUGACCUGGAGACGGAUCUGGGUGCUAAAGAAUUAGCACGUGCUAUGGAUCUAAACUGGUUACUGUAUAUUUGGAAUUGCUCCUUCAUUCUACCCUAGGUCUGGAAGGAUUUGAUGAUACCUCUAAAGAACAUGAUCUUUAAAAGGAUCAUGUGAUUGUCAGUCAGAUUUCCUAUGCACAUUGAUACGCUGUGUACAAAGUAUGAGCACUGGAAUCUACUUCUCAGUUGCUAGCAUUCUUUGCGAUAUAUGUUUUUUUCCUUAUUAUGUGCUUGGCACAACUAUUGGCAUUCCAUUUAUUAUUGUUGCUGGUAAAAAGAUGUUGAACUUUAAUGAGUUAUAGAUAUAUGCUAGAUUUAGAAGAAUAAAAAUAGAAGGCAAGUAUUAAGCCUAAUAGUUGGGAACUUACUAAUUACUUUGGGAAGCCCUCAAGAUCGUUAUCAUUAUCUAUAGCUUUGGGGUCAAAUACAGUAUGUGCAUGCUUGGCAUGCGUGUCCAAGCUUUUCUUUUUGCUUGAUUGCCGAUUAGGCAUGUUGUUGGAUGUUUAGUUAUUUUCUGUUAUGAUUUGCGCAGAUUGUGCACACUCGCUUAAAUUACAUUGCUACAAAGCUAUGUCAAGUUAUACUCUUGCCCUGCUCUAGGGGCAUUGGUCUCUCAUUCUCUUACAAUAGAGUUAUAUCCAUUUUUUUCCGGGGGAAGUUUUUAACAUUAUAUUUAUAGUUGUUUUAAAAACCCACCUGAUACUAAGUGCAUGUGCUUUGCUGGAGCUGUGGUUCCCAAAUUAAAUCAUACAUUCAGGCAUUGCCUUCCAAUUUCAUAUCAUGUUCUGUCCAGUUAGUAUCCACUUAUUUUGCGCUUGGUGAAAAUCACAUAGACAAAAGUUGGUUUAUGCACGCUUACUAAUCUUGUAUAUUCAGCAGUUGGUUAGCUCAAGGGAAAUAGCCAAGUAGUUUAGGUUCCCACUUUUAAUUUAUCUAGUGUUCCAGUAUUCCCAAUUGAAUUCAUGUAACGUAAGCAAGUAUGUAUAUGUAGUUUUGCAGCCAAAGAACAAUGAAGAUCAGGUCACAAGAUUAGUGUGGCUUGCAAGAAUAGAAUAAUCAUGUGAGCCUAUUGCAAAAUAGAUCUGGUCAUGCCCCCUAAUUAUCUUUUCUUAUUUCCUUUCGUAUAUCUAUACAAGUAGUGUCAUGUGAAACCCAAUAAUUGAUAGUACCAACUUGAGAAAGAAAUUGGUGCAUGUACAACACAAAUUGGACAAAUAGGUGGCUUGGUGAGCUCCAUUAAGCUAUUUUGAAUAUUAUUUUUCAUGCUCUGGUUGAGUUUUGCAGAUUGAGUUAGAGUUACAGUAUAUCUGUAAACCUGAGAUAUGCAACAUGCAAGUUUUUUCUAAAGGUGACCUCCUUUAUUUUGGAGCAGUUCUCUCCAUUCCAUGUUGUCAUUUUGAAAAAAAUUAUCCAUCUUGCACAAAUAAUGUCUUCUUUUCACAUUAUUUUGCUUACAACUCACUAUUAGGUUUUGGGACCAGGACAUACUUUUAUUCUAUAGCUACUGUCUGAAAUUGUUUGCAGGAAAUAUGGGUUUGUUGUCUCUUUCUACCAAAUGCAGAACAUACUGGACUGUUGGAUUUUCAUAAUGAUUUUUCCCAUUGUACUUAGCUGGUGUUGUUUUAGUUUCUAGCUGCAUUUGAAAGUAAGAAACAGAUAGAACAGUGCAGCCAUUUUAAAUUUUGGUUUACACUGUAAUUGGAGAAUGAGGAGAUGCUAGGAUCCUGGGUGAUAAAAUAAUGUUGUAGUGACCAAGGUUGGUUUUUGACUCCACAUUGUUACUUCUAGAUGUAUUUGAUCCCCAAACGGAUGUCCACCAGUACUGUUGCACACACAGGUCUAUGGAACUAUCCCCAAGUUAUUCAUGUUUGAUCACUACUCUAGCUAUUUCCUUUACAUAUGUGUAGCAACUCAUUGUUUCUACAUUAUCUAUUUUAAUUUGUCCACUCAUCUUUCAUAUUUAUAUGAGCAGUAUUGUGACCCAUAAGCCCUUUAUGCUGCACAAGGAUAUAACUAUGACAAUUGGGAGGUGUAUAUAUAUUAUUGUACCCGGAUUCCAUUUAAUGUAAAUCACCAUGACACCAGCUACUCUGGUUAUCCCGCAGGUUCUCCGCGCUUCAUCAAGCUUUUUGUUGUGCUGAUCAAACUCGGAUGCCAUUUGUCUCGGAAUUCCUAUCAAUGUAAGGUGAUGCUUCGGUUUACUAGGAUCUAGGAGUUCAGGAGCCCAAAUCAGGGGAUUCUCUACUCACUUGAUUUUAUCGUCAUUGACCACUAGAGAGGCACAAUGGAAGGUCCAGUCCUGGAAAAAGAGUAGAUCAGUUUAGGGAUCAGCUGUAGGAGGGGUCUAUUUACACCACUAAGAAAUUUGAUUUGUAUGAUCCUAGAAAGAGCUACAGGUCAGUGGAUCAUCCUUUGCGGAUCUGCUUUACUAUGAGGACUACUCUAUCAGAGGUGGUGCCGCCGCCGGAGAAUUUUCCUAUGUAUGCCUAUACUGCUGUCCCGUUUAGCAUGCUGUCAGAUUGCAUUGAUUGGAAUAUACUUAUAUCCGAUUUACAACAGAUGUCGGACGGGCUAACAAAGUCCCCGAUGUUUUGCCUCCUUCUGGUAAUACAAAGAGCCAAAAGAGACAAAUUUAUAUCACGGAUGGCAGCGAGCAUGCUAUUGUUACUUUGUGGGGAGAGAUGCUGAUGGACUAAUGGAGGCAUCAAAUGAAGAACCUGCCAUCGUGUUAUUUGUUGGCAUGACUGUCAGUCAGUACUUAGGCAUUGCGCUCCCACCUCUGUUUUUGUAUUGUCCUAUUGUAUUUCUUUCUUUUUUCCUGAUUUGUGCUAGCUUUUGUAUCCAAUAAUGUGCUGCAGGCUAUUUGUUUAAUAACAUGUGUAUCUUGCAUAUG